Molecule: transfer RNA, 74 nt
Filed under: Pomacea canaliculata
Lineage: Eukaryota; Metazoa; Mollusca; Gastropoda; Architaenioglossa; Ampullariidae
Description: tRNA-Ile
Rfam family: tRNA
About the family: Transfer RNA (tRNA) molecules are approximately 80 nucleotides in length. Their secondary structure includes four short double-helical elements and three loops (D, anti-codon, and T loops). Further hydrogen bonds mediate the characteristic L-shaped molecular structure. tRNAs have two regions of fundamental functional importance: the anti-codon, which is responsible for specific mRNA codon recognition, and the 3' end, to which the tRNAs corresponding amino acid is attached (by aminoacyl-tRNA synthetases). tRNAs cope with the degeneracy of the genetic code in two manners: having more than one tRNA (with a specific anti-codon) for a particular amino acid; and 'wobble' base-pairing, i.e. permitting non-standard base-pairing at the 3rd anti-codon position.
Source: RNAcentral
GCCCCGGUGGCACAAUCGGUUAGCGCGCCAUACUUAUAAUGCGGAGGUUGUGAGUUCGAUCCUCACCCGGGGCA